AAUAGAUACCCGGGUAGUCCACGCCGUAAACGAUGAGUGCUAAGUGUUAGAGGGUUUCCGCCCUUUAGUGCUGCAGCUAACGCAUUAAGCACUCCGCCUGGGGAGUACGGUCGCAAGACUGAAACUCAAAGGAAUUGACGGGGGCCCGCACAAGCGGUGGAGCAUGUGGUUUAAUUCGAAGCAACGCGAAGAACCUUACCAGGUCUUGACAUCCCACUGACCGGUAUAGAGAUAUACCUUUCCCUUCGGGGACAGUGGUGACAGGUGGUGCAUGGUUGUCGUCAGCUCGUGUCGUGAGAUGUUGGGUUAAGUCCCGCAACGAGCGCAACCCUUGAUCUUAGUUGCCAGCAUUUAGUUGGGCACUCUAAGGUGACUGCCGGUGACAAACCGGGAGGAAGGUGGGGAUGGACGUCAAAUCAUCAUGCCCCUUAUGACCUGGGCUACACACGUGCUACAAUGGAUGGUACAAAGGGCUGCAAGACUGCGAAGUCAAGCCAAUCCCAUAAAACCAUUCUCAGUUCGGAUUGCAGG
Molecule: ribosomal RNA, 531 nt
Filed under: uncultured bacterium
Lineage: Bacteria
Description: bacterial SSU rRNA
Rfam family: Bacterial small subunit ribosomal RNA
Source: RNAcentral